This 454-nucleotide ribosomal RNA is filed under the name uncultured bacterium. RNAcentral's name for it is "bacterial SSU rRNA". It matches the Rfam family "Bacterial small subunit ribosomal RNA", at positions 87 to 518 of the family's 1533-position model. The record is from RNAcentral.
CAAGUAGAGCGGCGGACGGGUGAGUAAUACAUGGAUAAUCUCCUCGAGCCCGGGAUAACACUGCGAAAGUGGUGCUAAUACCGGAUAAGACCACGUGACCCAGGUCAUGCGGUAAAGUGGCUUUGUUUUCGGAUGAGGCUAUCACUUGAUGAUGAGUCCAUGGCCUAUCAGCUUGUUGGCGAGGUAACGGCUCACCAAGGCGAUGACGGGUAGCUGGUCUGAGAGGACGACCAGCCACACUGGGACUGAGACACGGCCCAGACUCCUACGGGAGGCAGCAGUGGGGAAUAUUGGGCAAUGGGCGAAAGCCUGACCCAGCGACGCCGUGUGGGCGAUGAAGGCCUUCGGGUUGUAAAGCCCUGUUGGGUGGAAAGAAGGGUCCAUCGACGAAUAAUCUUUGGAUCUUGACGGUACCACCAGAGGAAGCACCGGCUAACUCCGUGCCAGCAGCUGC